GGGUUGUGAGGUUAAGCGACUAAGCGUACACGGUGGAUGCCCUGGCAGUCAGAGGCGAUGAAGGACGUGCUAAUCUGCGAUAAGCGUCGGUAAGGUGAUAUGAACCGUUAUAACCGGCGAUUUCCGAAUGGGGAAACCCAGUGUGAUUCGUCACACUAUCAUUAACUGAAUCCAUAGGUUAAUGAGGCGAACCGGGGGAACUGAAACAUCUAAGUACCCCGAGGAAAAGAAAUCAACCGAGAUUCCCCCAGUAGCGGCGAGCGAACGGGGAGCAGCCCAGAGCCUGAAUCAGUGUGUGUGUUAGUGGAAGCGUCUGGAAAGGCGUGCGAUACAGGGUGACAGCCCCGUACACAAAAAUGCACAUAUUGUGAGCUCGAUGAGUAGGGCGGGACACGUGGUAUCCUGUCUGAAUAUGGGGGGACCAUCCUCCAAGGCUAAAUACUCCUGACUGACCGAUAGUGAACCAGUACCGUGAGGGAAAGGCGAAAAGAACCCCGGCGAGGGGAGUGAAAAAGAACCUGAAACCGUGUACGUACAAGCAGUGGGAGCACGCUUAGGCGUGUGACUGCGUACCUUUUGUAUAAUGGGUCAGCGACUUAUAUUCUGUAGCAAGGUUAACCGAAUAGGGGAGCCGAAGGGAAACCGAGUCUUAACUGGGCGUUAAGUUGCAGGGUAUAGACCCGAAACCCGGUGAUCUAGCCAUGGGCAGGUUGAAGGUUGGGUAACACUAACUGGAGGACCGAACCGACUAAUGUUGAAAAAUUAGCGGAUGACUUGUGGCUGGGGGUGAAAGGCCAAUCAAACCGGGAGAUAGCUGGUUCUCCCCGAAAGCUAUUUAGGUAGCGCCUCGUGAAUUCAUCUCCGGGGGUAGAGCACUGUUUCGGCAAGGGGGUCAUCCCGACUUACCAACCCGAUGCAAACUGCGAAUACCGGAGAAUGUUAUCACGGGAGACACACGGCGGGUGCUAACGUCCGUCGUGAAGAGGGAAACAACCCAGACCGCCAGCUAAGGUCCCAAAGUCAUGGUUAAGUGGGAAACGAUGUGGGAAGGCCCAGACAGCCAGGAUGUUGGCUUAGAAGCAGCCAUCAUUUAAAGAAAGCGUAAUAGCUCACUGGUCGAGUCGGCCUGCGCGGAAGAUGUAACGGGGCUAAACCAUGCACCGAAGCUGCGGCAGCGACACUAUGUGUUGUUGGGUAGGGGAGCGUUCUGUAAGCCUGUGAAGGUGUACUGUGAGGUAUGCUGGAGGUAUCAGAAGUGCGAAUGCUGACAUAAGUAACGAUAAAGCGGGUGAAAAGCCCGCUCGCCGGAAGACCAAGGGUUCCUGUCCAACGUUAAUCGGGGCAGGGUGAGUCGACUCCUAAGGCGAG
Molecule: ribosomal RNA, 1368 nt
Filed under: Shigella dysenteriae
Lineage: Bacteria; Pseudomonadati; Pseudomonadota; Gammaproteobacteria; Enterobacterales; Enterobacteriaceae
Description: partial 23S ribosomal RNA
Rfam family: Bacterial large subunit ribosomal RNA
Source: RNAcentral